CGGCGUGCCUAAUACAUGCAAGUCGAACGAACUCUGGUAUUGAUUGGUGCUUGCAUCAUGAUUUACAUUUGAGUGAGUGGCGAACUGGUGAGUAACACGUGGGAAACCUGCCCAGAAGCGGGGGAUAACACCUGGAAACAGAUGCUAAUACCGCAUAACAACUUGGACCGCAUGGUCCGAGUUUGAAAGAUGGCUUCGGCUAUCACUUUUGGAUGGUCCCGCGGCGUAUUAGCUAGAUGGUGGGGUAACGGCUCACCAUGGCAAUGAUACGUAGCCGACCUGAGAGGGUAAUCGGCCACAUUGGGACUGAGACACGGCCCAAACUCCUACGGGAGGCAGCAGUAGGGAAUCUUCCACAAUGGACGAAAGUCUGAUGGAGCAACGCCGCGUGAGUGAAGAAGGGUUUCGGCUCGUAAAACUCUGUUGUUAAAGAAGAACAUAUCUGAGAGUAACUGUUCAGGUAUUGACGGUAUUUAACCAGAAAGCCACGGCUAACUACGUGCCAGCAGCCGCGGUAAUACGUAGGUGGCAAGCGUUGUCCGGAUUUAUUGGGCGUAAAGCGAGCGCAGGCGGUUUUUUAAGUCUGAUGUGAAAGCCUUCGGCUCAACCGAAGAAGUGCAUCGGAAACUGGGAAACUUGAGUGCAGAAGAGGACAGUGGAACUCCAUGUGUAGCGGUGAAAUGCGUAGAUAUAUGGAAGAACACCAGUGGCGAAGGCGGCUGUCUGGUCUGUAACUGACGCUGAGGCUCGAAAGUAUGGGUAGCAAACAGGAUUAGAUACCCUGGUAGUCCAUACCGUAAACGAUGAAUGCUAAGUGUUGGAGGGUUUCCGCCCUUCAGUGCUGCAGCUAACGCAUUAAGCAUUCCGCCUGGGGAGUACGGCCGCAAGGCUGAAACUCAAAGGAAUUGACGGGGGCCCGCACAAGCGGUGGAGCAUGUGGUUUAAUUCGAAGCUACGCGAAGAACCUUACCAGGUCUUGACAUACUAUGCAAAUCUAAGAGAUUAGACGUUCCCUUCGGGGACAUGGAUACAGGUGGUGCAUGGUUGUCGUCAGCUCGUGUCGUGAGAUGUUGGGUUAAGUCCCGCAACGAGCGCAACCCUUAUUAUCAGUUGCCAGCAUUAAGUUGGGCACUCUGGUGAGACUGCCGGUGACAAACCGGAGGAAGGUGGGGAUGACGUCAAAUCAUCAUGCCCCUUAUGACCUGGGCUACACACGUGCUACAAUGGAUGGUACAACGAGUUGCGAACUCGCGAGAGUAAGCUAAUCUCUUAAAGCCAUUCUCAGUUCGGAUUGUAGGCUGCAACUCGCCUACAUGAAGUCGGAAUCGCUAGUAAUCGCGGAUCAGCAUGCCGCGGUGAAUACGUUCCCGGGCCUUGUACACACCGCCCGUCACACCAUGAGAGUUUGUAACACCCAAAGUCGGUGGGGUAACCUUUUAGGAACCAGCCGCCUAAGGUGGGACAGAUGAUUAGGGUGAAGUCGUAACAAGGGG
Molecule: ribosomal RNA, 1493 nt
Filed under: Lactiplantibacillus plantarum
Lineage: Bacteria; Bacillati; Bacillota; Bacilli; Lactobacillales; Lactobacillaceae
Description: bacterial SSU rRNA
Rfam family: Bacterial small subunit ribosomal RNA
Source: RNAcentral